AGAACGAACGCUGGCGGCAGGCUUAACACAUGCAAGUCGAGCGCUGUAGCAAUACAGAGCGGCAGACGGGUGAGUAACGCGUGGGAACAUACCCUCCGGUUCGGAAUAACUCAGGGAAACUUGAGCUAAUACCGGAUACGGUCGAGAGGCGAAAGAUUUAUCGCCGGAGGAUUGGCCCGCGUCCGAUUAGCUAGUUGGUGUGGUAAUGGCGCACCAAGGCGACGAUCGGUAGCUGGUCUGAGAGGAUGAUCAGCCACAUUGGGACUGAGACACGGCCCAAAACUCCUACGGGAGGCAGCAGUGGGAAUAUUGGACAAUGGGCGAAAGCCUGAUCCAGCCAUGCCGCGUGAGUGAUGAAGGCCUUAGGGUUGUAAAGCUCUUUCGCCCAGACGAUAAUGACGGUAGUGGGAGAAGAAGCCCGGCUAACUUCGUGCCAGCAGCCGC
This 444-nucleotide ribosomal RNA is filed under the name uncultured bacterium. Its description in RNAcentral is "SSU rRNA". It matches the Rfam family "Bacterial small subunit ribosomal RNA", at positions 26 to 518 of the family's 1533-position model. The record is from RNAcentral.